CAACGCCAGACUCAAUUAAGGCUUUGUAAAAUGGAGAAUUUGGUCCAUCAACCAAUAGUGAAGACAAGAGACUUAGCGUGAAAGUUUCAAAAACGUCUGUAAUGUCUGUCAACAAGUAACUGACGCUGACAGUCGUUUGCUUGGAAGGAUCACUAGCAAAUGAGUCUAAGCCACAUGUUAUAUGGUGUUCUUGAGGCUUUUCCCAGAUUUUCUGUUUUGGGAUGUCAGUCUUUGAUUCAAUUCUUUCAAAUUUU
This 254-nucleotide long non-coding RNA is filed under the name Gallus gallus (chicken). The record is from RNAcentral. Lineage: Eukaryota; Metazoa; Chordata; Aves; Galliformes; Phasianidae.